UGAAAAGAAGAGUCCAGUGUGUUAUGAGGAAAACCCCAAGAGCAUGCUGCCUUACAAGACAGGUGAAAAAUGUGUUCUGUGAAAGAAAGAGUAAUUAACUGUUAAAUGUUACAGACUGAUCAAAUAAAAUGAAGACUGAGAAUGGCCUGUUUGUAAGAUCACUUUUAAAAGGAAAACAUAGGAGCCUGAAACUGAAGUGGGGAACAAAUAUUUACUCAAACUAAGAGAUUAAACUCAGUAGCCAGCAACAAGAGAUCAAGUGAUGAUUAAUUUUAUGUGUUAACUUAGCUGGGCUGUGUUGCCCAGAUAGUUGGUUAAACAUUCUGGAUGUUUCUGUGAAGAUGUUUUUGGAUGAGAUUAACAUUUAGAUUGGUGGGCUUUGAGUAAAGCAGAUUACCUUUCAUAAUUUGGGUGGGCCUCAUCCAAUCAGUUGAACGUCUGAAGAGACCAAAAGACUGACCUUCUGCAAGCAAAGAAAAAUUCCGCCAACAGCCAGCCAUUGGACUUGAAUUUCAACAUUGACUCUUGAGUCUAUUGGCCCACCCUGCAAAUUUUGGACUUGCCAGUAAGUGUCUGUAAUCUAGUGAGGCAAUUUCGUUCUUUUUUUUUUUUUGAGAUGGAGUUUUGCUCUUGUUGUCCAGGCUGGAGUGCAAUGGUGCGAUCUCAGCUCACCGCAACCUCUGCCUCCCAGGUUCAAGUGAUUCUUCUGCCUCAGCCUCCUGAGUAGCUGGGAUUACAGGCAUGUGCCACCACUCCUGGCUAAUUUUGUAUUUUUAGUAGAGAUGGGGUUUCUCCAUAUUGGUCAGGCUGGUCUCAAAUUUCCAACCUCAGGUGAUCCACCCGCCUUGGCCUCCCAAAGUGCUGGGAUUACAGGUGUGAGCCACCGUUCCUGGCCUAAUUUCUUUCUUUCUUUUUUUUUGAGAUGGAGUUUUGCUCUUGUUGCCCAGAAUGGAGUGCAAUGUGGCGGGAUGUUGGCUCACUGCAACCUCCACCUCCUGGCCUCCUUAGUAGCUGGGAUUACAGGCGCCUGCUACCACGCCCAGCUAAUUUUUGUAUUUUUAGUAGAGAUGGGGUUUCACCAUGUUGGCCAGGCUGGUCUCAAACUUCUGACCUUACAUGAUCUGCCCGCUUUGGCCUCCCAAAGUGCUGGGAUUACAGGCGUGAGCCACCAUGCCUAGCUGGGUAGUUUAUUUUGACUUGACUUCAGGCUCACCAAUCCCUUUGGCUGCAAUUCUAAGAUAGAAAAGGACAUAAAAAACAUAGAAAUAGGAUUGAAACUGUAAAUUAGCCUUAGAAUAGAGAGAUAUUAUCAUUCCCUAGCAAUCAGUAUUCAAAGCAAGAUCCAAACAUGUAAUUAGUCAUUUAUGUAUCUAAGCUAUUUGUAUGUAUGAUACAAGUUUUCACACACAAAUUUCUUCUUUCUUUCUUUUUUUUUUUUUUUGAAAGAGGCAGGGUUUCACGACAUUGCCCAGGCUGGUCUUGAGCUCAAGUGAUCCACCCGCCUUGGCCUCCCAAAGUGCUGAGAUUACAGGCAUGAGCCACAGUGCCUGGCCCAAAUUAUUGUAGUUAUUUCCAAUUCCUUUCCCCCUUCUCACAUCCCAAUUAAAGAAUUCCACUCAGGAA
This 1623-nucleotide non-coding RNA is filed under the name Pongo abelii (Sumatran orangutan). Lineage: Eukaryota; Metazoa; Chordata; Mammalia; Primates; Hominidae. The record is from RNAcentral.